GACGAACGCUGGCGGCGUGCUUAACGCAUGCAAGUCGAACGGAAAGGCCCUGCUUUUGUGGGGUGCUCGAGUGGCGAACGGGUGAGUAACACGUGAGUAACCUGCCCUUGACUUUGGGAUAACUUCAGGAAACUGGGGCUAAUACCGGAUAGGAGCUCCUGCUGCAUGGUGGGGGUUGGAAAGUUUCGGCGGUUGGGGAUGGACUCGCGGCUUAUCAGCUUGUUGGUGGGGUAGUGGCUUACCAAGGCUUUGACGGGUAGCCGGCCUGAGAGGGUGACCGGCCACAAUGGGACUGAGAUACGGCCCAGACUCCUACGGGAGGCAGCAGUGGGGAAUAUUGCACAAUGGGCGGAAGCCUGAUGCAGCAACGCCGCGUGCGGGAUGACGGCCUUCGGGUUGUAAACCGCUUUCGCCUGUGACGAAGCGUGAGUGACGGUAAUGGGUAAAGAAGCACCGGCUAACUACGUG
This 468-nucleotide ribosomal RNA is filed under the name uncultured bacterium. RNAcentral describes it as "partial 16S ribosomal RNA". It matches the Rfam family "Bacterial small subunit ribosomal RNA", at positions 28 to 507 of the family's 1533-position model. The record is from RNAcentral.